RNAcentral lists this long non-coding RNA (24051 nucleotides) under Olea europaea (common olive). RNAcentral describes it as "long non-coding RNA (OEUR_LNC006870)". The record is from RNAcentral. Lineage: Eukaryota; Viridiplantae; Streptophyta; Magnoliopsida; Lamiales; Oleaceae.
AUAGGGGGGGGGGGGGGAGUCAAAAUCAAGGUUGUAAAAAUAAACCAUUUGGAAAUUUCACACGUCAUAAAAGAAAACAAGCAGAUUGCUCAAUAAAAUAACUAAUAAUAAUAACAUAAACUUCUGUUUGAUAUUGAAAGAUUCUUAAGUUUUUCAAAACAGUAUCUCAAAUCCUUCUCUAAUAGUUGAUAUUCGCACAGAAAUGUGACAAUAUUUUGUCAUGAUGUGGGCCCUUCUAGUAUUUUUGCCCAUGGAAUUUGCUGGCGUAUGGCUCUUUCAUGAGGACAAAGGAGAUCAAUGAAACGUCUUUACUGUUACAAGAGAGUUUCUUGUAUCUUAUUAUGUGUUGACUAAACAACUAAAAUACAAGAGGCCAAAUUUCAUAAGACAAAUUUUACAGCCAGAGGUUGAAUAACGACUCUUAUUUUGGACCUUCCUCUCUCGGUAUUUUACAGCCAACACAAAUUUUUGCAUAUUGCACGCGAAGUAGCUUCUUGUUAUAUGCUACUCUUAUUUGUAUUGGUUCCUCGAGUCUUUAUGCAGCAGUUUGGUAAUAUAUCAAGCCUAUCAUUUGUUAUGAAGGAUUAUAUCUAAUAAUGCUCAUUAAGUGUGUGCAAGCUGCAUACGUUGCUAUUCUGCUUAAUCGGCAUGCAUGUUAUAGUGACCCGAAUUCUGUUUGACCUGACCCGAAAAGCUCACGGUGCAACAUAUGCGGUGAAUCUAGAAUUAUGAAAAAAAGGGGUGUGCUGGUAGAGGAGGGAUGGGCCAAGAGGCUAAUGGACCUAUUUCAUUAUAUAUAUGAUGUAUAUUAGGGUUUCAUCACAUCAUAUCAUUCGGAGUAGCCGCACCUCUUGUAAUCAUCUUUGAUAUAGUGAAUUUUCUCAUCUGCCCGUGAUUUUUUUCGUCUUUAGAUUCUACGUAAAUCUUGUAUUCUUGUUACCAUUUUUAGAUUGCCCAUACUUAUUUUUUCGUAACAAUACAAUUUCAAAUUUCUCAACGGCUUAAAUGGCAAUGAUCUAAUCUCCACAAAAUUUAUUAAAAUUUAUUAUUAUCCAAUAAACAUGAAAGGUUAGACCGCUAGCUCCUCACAAAUUAAAACUUAGCCCUCGUUCGGUAUUAAAUUUUCAUCCAAAAAAUCAAUUUUUUGAUCGUUAUUUCACUAUUUCAGCCGUCAUUUUGACUUCUUCAAUGAUAGAUAGAACUCAUUUUUCUCUCUAACGAUCAAAAAAUCAAUUCUCAUAAUCACAACCAAACAGGCCAUUAAUAAAGACUAACUCAUAAAAUGAAAAUCUACAUAUACCCCUUGUUUGAGCCCCAUUUUGGGAGAAAAAUUCAUUUUUGAAUAGUGUAUUGUUAAAUAGUGUAUUGACGGGAAAUGGUCGGUUAAAAAAUAAAGAAAAAUUUUGAAUUUAUGGGUAAUAUUAUUUUAUUGAAGAAUGUGUGGUUGAAAUGUGUCAAAAUACUGUUUAAGAAUGUAUUUUUUUUUUUUUCCAAAGAAAGGGGUUAAACAAGGGCAUAGUUUCUAAUUUGAGUUAACUAUAACAAAAGCUAUGAAAUACUUUAACUAUGUAUAUGCAUGAACCAUAAUUUUCUUCACACAUAAAGUAGGUGUAAUUCAAGGAUGGACAGUAGAUACAGGAACAAGGAGAACUUACUCCACAAAGGGGAACAGAAGCUAUCCCAGCAUGUGGACCUGCCAGGGAUAUCAAAUUCCUCACCUGUCUCAAAUUAAGAACAUAAAUAAUAUAGAGUUCAAACUUGUAAUUUCAUACAAGUACUUAAUUUUGUUUAGAAAUCAAAAAGGGUAGGAGAAAAUGUUUCUUUAACUGAAACUGAUAUAUACAACAAGCUGGUAAUUAGAGGUGACUUCAAAAUCACUUUUAUAUACUGCGAGUGCCUGGUCAUUUAUAAUUUGAUGAUACCACAUAGAAAAAAGAGCAUUCUGAGUAGAACCUGACACCUCAUAGAAAAAAGAGCACUUUGAACAGAGCCUAUUGUAGUUUACAUCAUCACAACAAAGUUUUUGUGAUUUGUUACCACUUCAGGUUGAAUUAUACUGCAUGUUUAUGCCAUUUUGCUCUCAGUUAUCCCAUAACUUUACAGUACAUGAAAAGAAUUAGGCGGGCUUGCGUAAAAAUUUCAAAUACUCACAGGAGGUCCUCCAUCACAGAAUUCUAGGAUUCCUCUGCCAACCAUAUUGCCCUGAAAAGUACAAGAAUGGAAUGAGAUCUCUACCAACGUGUGGAAAAGCAGCAUAGUAAAUAUGAAACAAAGCAUUUUCACAUUUAGUCCAACUAAUAUGAUUUAGAUUGUCCAAUAGAACUAUCAAUGAACCAAAUAAAUAUUGGAACAAUAAAAUGAUUUCACAUGCAAACGAUGCAGAAGAGUAAAUGAUUGGGGUGAUCUGAAUAUGGUCUUUAACCUGUGAAAGUCCAAUUAUGUUGUAACCCUCUUUGAGCUCACUCAUAUUCUUCACCUGUAAGUUGCACAAAAUACCAUCUGAAUAAAGGAAUUCUGGUUCAGUGAAGUAAACGCGUUAUCAAAAGCUUAGUACCUUCUCACAAGCAAUGGCUGUCUGAAAGUACAAAAACAAAAUUAUGUUAUCACUAAAUAGCAUUCUAGAGAAGUAUAAUUGUAACAAGGUUGACUGAUAAGCAAUCAAUCACCUGUUUUCGAAAUGGCAUAAACCAUGAAUCCCAUUCACCAUUGCCGAUUUCACUACAAUAAAAGGCAAGGAAAAAAAUAGAAGGAAAAGGAAGAGAGAUUAAAUGAAAGCAUUGUAAUCAGCUAGGAAACAAUUUGAGAAAUCGAUGAAACACGAAAAAUGCAUCUUCGGCAAGUACAUUGGCACAUAUAUACAUCAGCGUUCCCUUUUUCACACUUCAUUCAUCCAUAAAAAGUUGGAAAAUAUUGUAGAAGACAAUAAUGGACAAUUUAACAGGUAGACUUGAAUUUUCACAAAAAUUGAAACCAUUUAAUGCUUACAUGCAAUAUCCUUGUGAACCAGACCAGUUGCUCAGAAGCUCUGUGAAUUUUGUGACUCCUUCAUGACUGCACUUGUCUGAGAUUCCUGCAAAAUUAUAUUUCAACUAAGAACAAUACCUAGUCAACCAAUCAUGAUAUGUAUUUCGCCCUUAGAACUUGCACAAGUUGCAUCGAAUCUGGUUACAUUACAAUGAAUACUGAAAAAAACAUGAUUUGUCAAAUAGAACCAGACAGCUGGUGCAAAUUUGAAUAUGAUUCUCCUUAAAAGGGAUGAAGUUACUAUGUCCAAACCUUGAUUCUGCUAUGCUUCAAAUGAUUCCACUUUCUAUACAUUUAUUGUUCUUGGCAGGUAAUAUAGAAAAUUAUUAGCAAAACACAUUACUGAGACAGGAUAUAAUUUUGAAGAUUUAAAAAAGUUGCAUCGAAUCUGGUUACAUUACAAUGAAUACUGAAAAAAACAUGAUUUGUCAAAUAGAACCAGACAGCUGGUGCAAAUUUGAAUAUGAUUCUCCUUAAAAGGGAUGAAGUUACUAUGUCCAAACCUUGAUUCUGCUGUGCUUCAAAUGAUUCCACUUUCUAUACAUUUAUUGUUCUUGGCAGGUAAUAUAGAAAAUUAUUAGCAAAACACAUUACUGAGACAGGAUAUAAUUUUGAAGAUUUAACAAACAAUGCACAUUAAAAUUUCAAGAAAUAUAUUAAUGGCAUUCAGUUUAGAAUACUUCUGUCAAUUAUCACACUUCAGGUGUCAAAAUGUGCCCAGCCAAUGCCCGGUUUGGAUAAUUUUCAGUGUCCCUAAAAAAGGACCGUGCCAGACUAAGGUGGAUCACCGUGGUGCGGCCAAUUAUCAUCGCUAUGUCUUAGGAUCUAUGGUUCGAACAAAAAAUGCAUAAUCUUGUAAAACCAAUACCAAAUUUAUUAGCAAUCAAAAUUUACAAAUUACAUAGAGGAGCAAAAUGAUUCCAAUGUAUCCAUUAAAAGCAGAAAUACAAACAUAACGGUUCAAUUUUGGGUGAUUCUUGUAUAACUGACUGACAAGAACCAAAGUUACAAUGUAGAAGUACUACAAAGGCAAUAAAAAGCACAAUACCAUCGUAUUAGGAAGAAUAUAGCUACUUAUUGACUGCAACAGAAACCAAACUGAAUCAAAAAGCAGAAAAAAAUUACCAUGAAAGACAACAAAAGGUAGAGCAUAUGUAGUUCUUGGAAUGAAUGUCAACGUAAUGAUGAUGAAAAGCGAUGUGAAAAUAAUCAAGAAAGAUUUAAGAGCCAUGCUUUUUUGCAGAAAGGAAAAGGAGUUAAGGAUAAGGUACUGAGUGGCCACUUGCUAUUUGGGUUUGGAUUUGCUUUCGAAAUAUAGAAAAUGAAAUCAAGAAACGUGGUUUUACUAAGACCCUGUUUGCCACCAUUUUUUUGAAAUGAAAACGGAUUGAAUAGUAUUUUUAAAAAAUAAUAAUUGGUUGAAAAAAAAAGGAAAAAUUUUCGAUUUAUAUAUAAUAUUAUUUUAUAAAAAAUUGUGUGAUUGAAAAUAGAAGAGAGAAAAAUUUAAAUGUAAUUUAAGAGACUGUGAUAGGUAUACUGUACAUUUGCUGUUUGGGUGGACAACUCGCAAAAGCUUAGAUACAUGUAGAAGAUUCAAUUUUCUAUUUUAUACUUAUCCAUUUUUUUGUUUAAUAACUUUAACAUACUUGUUUGAAUCUCAUUUUGGAUUAAAAAAAAAAAUGCAUUUUAAGAUUGUAGAUUGAUGAAGAACAUAUAUACUGUUAAAUUUUUUUUUCGUGUAAUAUUAUUUUAUUGAAGAACGUGUUAUUAAAAAUGAGUUUUGAAAAGGUGAAUUUUUAAAAAAAGAAAAAUUGAGCUCAAACAAGGGCGUUUCAACUAGAUUAAAUUAUUAAUUAAUAUUAUUGCUUUCGAAAAAAUCAAGUCAAUUAAUUUAGACUAAACACAAAUAUUUGUAAUUAUUAAUUUAAAAUUGAUAAAAAAUAAUAAAAUUACAUCUACCAUUAUCUAUUUUUCUAAAACCUUAUAUUGCAUAUUAGAAAUCAUGCUUUUUGGCCUUUUUCACAUGAUUCUGUCCUUCAUGCCUCCAAAUUUUUAUAUUGCCCUAUUUUGUCGUGAUUAUGAGAAUUGAUUUUUUGAUUGUUAGAUUGAAAAGUGAGUUCCACAUGUGAGUGAAGAAGUAAAAAAUGGCGAUUAAAAUAGUGAAAUAAUAGUUAAAAAAUCAAUUUUUUUGAAUGAAAAUUUGUUGUCAAACGAAAACAUAUUAUAAUACUUUUUAACUUUGUGUGGAUUCAUAGAAGAUCGCAUACGGAUAAUUAUUCUUAAAAAAAAUGCUAACAACAUAAUGGCUCGCUUGGUACACAUUUUUUUCAAAAUACAUUUUCUUCUCUUUUUUUUUCAACUACACAUUCUUUAUUAAAAUAAUAUUACACGUAAAUAAAAAAAAUUCUUAUUUUUCAACCAUACAUUUCCCAUCAAUUUACUAUUCAAAAAUAUAUUUUUACAUAAAAAUAUCUUCCAAACAUCCUCAAUGCAAACACAACAUCAUCCAUUAUGAUUAUGAUAUUUCCACAUUUCACAUAAAAAAUGCACCAAUUUCACUCAACAUCUCAAAUUGUUAUAAUCAACCCUCUAAAUCAUAAAAAUGCACCAAUUUCACUUGACACUAUUCCGUUAGUUCUAAGUAGGGAAGAAAACAAUUCAAGAUGACCUCUCUCCCCUCUACCGCUUUAUUGGAAAAUUUUCAAAGUAGACAGGACCGGGUGGAAAUUAAAAAUGAUUUCAAUUUAAAAUUGAAAAAAAAAAAUAAAAAUAAAAACGAGUUCGAGACAGGACAAUAUGAGAAAAGAGAGAGAAAAACUUUGAUAGGGCGAUUGCACCGUCUUACCCGAUGAUAUGGUGACUCUCUAUUCGACAAUCAUACCACGUAGAAUCGUAAGAUCGACCCACCAAAUUUUUUCUCGAAAAGAGUGCCCCAUCUCAUUUUUCGCAUUUUCUCACCUUCGCCAAUUUUCUUUUUUCUUUUUCGAAUUUCCUUGUUAUUUUCAUCUUUUUAUUUUAUUGUCCAUGUUGGACUGAAGUCGCUAGUCCCAAACACCGCUUUACAAAAUAGACGAGCAACUUUAGUCUGUUUUGAACACCAGAUUUGACCCUUCAGGAUUUUUUCUCUCCCGGCGAAAAUGGCGAGACCGAUGGCCGAUUGGCGCAGCAACAGAGCGGCGGUUCAGGGAACAAACGACGACGCUUCCGCCAGCAAACUGUAUGUUGCUUCUAAUUUUAUACACGCUCUCGAGUUUCUUUUCAUUUUCUUAGUUUAUUGCGAUGAAAUUCAAGAAUCAUAAUUUAAUCAUUAUACACACUCAGCCGCUUCAGUUUUGCUUGCAACAUGAAUGAUUUUUCUAUCGAAUGAUUAAUGAUAAUAGCAUAUCAUUUUUAAUAAAAUUCCUUCAGAUUUAUUUUAGUUCCUUGAAUUUUUAAUUUAUUUACAAGAUAAACGAAUAGAUUUAAUGAAAGGGAAGAACAAUGAAUUGAUGGAAUAAUACAUACAUUUUUUUUUCACGCAAACGCUUGAAGGUCUUUAAUACCGUGUUUGGAAGAUUUUUUUAUUCUAUGGAACAAAAUUUUCAGAAAGACAAAUGAUGUUGGUUGCAGGUAAUUUUGGUAUAUGAUUAUCCUAUCUUGUCUUUUAGUUAUUCUUUAAUCUUUUGGAGUAAAGAUGUUGGUGCUCUCAAGACUGUAAACAUGAAUAACGGUAUUUAUGUUUUUGCUAAGCUAUAAUAACUCUUUCUGUGUUUUGUAAAUAGGUCUUGUGUCAAAAAGGGGUACAUGAAGGAUGACUACGUUUAUUUGUUUGUAAAAAGACCAGUGAGGAGAUCUCCAAUAAUUAAUCGCGGUACUGUUUGGUUAUUUUCCCUAUCUAGGCCUUGCUUACUGAGUUACUUGUUUUUAUGUGAUAUUGAUUCAUUUUUUCUUCUUGUAAAUCUCAAGGAUAUUUUGCUCGGUAUGCAGCAGUCAGAAAGCUUCUUCAUCAAUUUCUCAAUUGUGAAGUGAAUACUGAUGGGCAAGGCAACACCAAGAAGCAAAUACUGUCACUGGGAGCUGGCUUUGAUACAACAUAUUUUCAGUUGCAGGUGCUUGAGCUUUCAUUUGAGACACGAAUAAUUUUUGUCAGUGUGAACUUGAGUAAUAUGAUAAAGUUUUAUUGUUUUGCUUGGAUAUUUUGUGUUCUGUUUCCUUUAGUAUUUCCAUGUUUUGUAAUUCUUCUUGUUAAACAAGAAAGCGGCGUGUGUAUUGAGCUGGAAUUUCUAUGCUUCCUGAUGCUCACACUUCUCAGACACCUUGCCCCCAGACACGUGUGCCUCUGUGAGCUAUUACACUUGAAUUGCUUAUCCUUUUGAAUAAGAAUGACGAAUCUCUACUUGGUUGGAAUGGAAGAGUUACUUUCAUUCAUGACACGUAUGAGAGGGGAUCUAUUGUCCAGAGAAAAUGUAGUGUACUAUCUAUGCUUAUUGAGUGAGCUACGGGCAAUAUUUGAUGAACCGUGUGUUUGGAUUUCAGAAGGUCCAUUUUGAUGGAUGGAAGUCUUCAUACUCUAGUCCAACUAAAACCUCUUAGAUAGUGGUUAGAAUGUUAGUUUAAUACUAGGCUUACAUCGAUACUUCGGUGCAUGCUUGAUGUCUCUUUGCUUGUACUUAGGGUUGGUAUGGUCACUGACUUUAUUCAUUUUAAUAUGCCUAUUAAACUCCAAAAAUAUGAAAAAUAUUUGUUCUUCUUUAAGCUAACUGUAUUCUUCUUUGAUAGGACGAAGGGAAAGCACCUUACCUGUAUGUAGAACUAGACUUCAUAGAGGUAUGAAUUUGGAAAACUCGGGAAUAUCGUGUGAGUAUUUUACAUGUGCUGGCUUAAAUAUUUUUUAAGAGAUCGUCGCAUCCAUUAAUAAAUAUGGAUUCACAAACUUUGCUUGAGUGGUCAAACUUUUAUACCACCUUUUACUUUUAAUUUUGUUUGGCAGUGCCAUUCUUCUCAUUUAUUGGAAUCCUAUAAUGAUUAGUUGUGGGGUUAUGCUUGGUGUACAUAAUUUAGGUACAUAAGGGUGUCCAUACCCCCCUCACAUGAGGCAGGGCCCAUCUCAUGUGAGGGGUGUCCAUGUACAUAUUUUAUGUACACCAAGACUUAUCUUUAGUUUUAUCUCACAAUUCUGUAUUUUCUCUUUUGUCGAUGUUUCAAUUUUUUAGGUGACCAGUAAGAAAGCUGCUCUUAUUGAAACCUACAGUCAAUUGAGGGAUAAAGUUGGUGAGACUGCAUCAAUUUCUCAAGGUAAGAAUUAGGUCACAUUUACUGAGACUCUGACUUGUACUGUUGUACAAUUUCUCCCAUCUUCUGUCAUAUUUGCAAAUGACCAUAAUUCUAUCUUGCUGAUGGCCCAAAAAAAUUGUUUUCUGCUAAAUGAAAUUGGUGCAUAAUUGGAGAGAAAAUCAGGGACAGUCGGAGAGAGAUAUUGCUUGUUUGGAAGUGUUUAAAUUAUGAUAUGAGGAUAAAUAGUGGAUCCACAGAUUAUGUGGUUAAAAAGUAUAUUUGACCAGCUUAAAUUAUAAUUUAAACUUUGCCGAACAUGCACAUAGAGAAAUUCAUGAGAAUUGAAGAAUCGGGAGAAAACAUGAUUUCAACAUCAUUGUGUAUUUAAUUAUCAAUAGUCCGUGUAACUAUAAAAUCCUGCUUCUAUUUAUACUUAAAUAUUACAGAAAGAGAGUGAAUACCCGACAUUAGUGAACAAGCUAGGGUGAGAUUGUUGAGAAUGAAUAGGUCACAAUUGCUCAUUAAUUCCUCAAAAUGGGUCAUAAACUCUAUAAAGAUGGACGUAACCUUCAACAAUUUGUAUGCACAGAUAUUUUUAUGUUUUUUCGUUGGCUAACAAUUUUUUCUCUUGUUAAAAAAUAAUCGAAGAUUAAGAAAGAAAGGGGGUCCAAGACAAGAAGAAUUGAGGGCAAGAGGAAAAAUUGCUCUUUAUUCAUAUAAUCGGUUGUCCAUUACAAUGAACAAUGCCCUCUAUUUAUAGAGUAAAUAAGCUAAGAUGCUAAAAUGAAAUAAACUUCUAAUGAUAUAAAAAUAUCAAAACUAAUCUAAUGAAAUCUAAUCAAAUAUGUUUUAAAUCAAACUCUUAUUUAAAAUCCUAAUUAAAAUUUUUUUAUUCUAAUCUCUAUCUUAAUUUCCAUCGUUUCUCCAAAACUUUUUCUUAAGACAAUGAGACACUUAACAAUUAAUAAUAAUCAUUAGGGUCUCUUAACCUAUGUUGCACAUCGAAAGUAAGAUCAAAAAUUUCAUGAUUGAAAAUAAUAUGUCGCAUUAAUUUGGCAUAAAAUUUAGGAACAUUGAUAGCAACAUGAUGAACUAAUGCCAUAUGUCUGUAUUUAGUAGUCAGCAAAUUAAUGUCAAUAGGAAAGUGUGCAAGCAAAUAAUUGCCUUUGAAAAAUCUUUGCAACUGGAGGAGUAUCGAUCAUUUGAGGUAACGUAACAAUAAACUCUACUUUAAAAGAAGAUUCAGGAGUGGGCUAACUGUUUGGUUGAUGUGUCAAUACUAACGAUAACUCAGGAACUGUAUCAUGGUCAAUUAUGGCUAAGGUGGAUGUGAGAGGGGAUACGAGACAAGUCUCAAAACUCUCAUCCUCACUAUCAAAAAUAUCAAUUGGUUCAACAAUAAAAGCCUCAUUUUCUUCUACAUGAGGAGGAUUAACACAACUAAAUUUAGAAAGUGAUUGGAGUAAUGUGUCUAGUUUUGUACACAAUUGAUUAAGUUGAAAAGAUAUGUACCAAUGAUUGCCCAAACGGUAAGCUUCAUCCAAAAAAUUAGGGUAUAGGAAUGUUAUAAGGCAAGAUUUCUGGAUUCAAACCAUUAAUAAACCUAAACACUGUGAUGAGCCUCAUAAACAAAACAACUGUGCCAAGUGGUCGUACAUUGCCUUCAUUGGCAAAAGAAUUAAUUCACCAAUUGAAUUCGAUAAUACUCAAGGGCAUUCUUUAUAUUCAUUUCAUCUCAUCCCACAAAUUGACAAUUCAUUGACCUAGACAAUUAUGUAAAUAUAAUCUCCAAUAAAUCUUUAGCUGGACCGAUCAGUGACAUGGUAGCACAACAAAUUCAACGCGAGUCACUUAAAUUGUGAUAGUUAAAGAAUUUUUCAAGACUAUUGAGUCAAUCCAGAAAUGCUUCUGGAUGAGUCCGGCAUCAGAAUCCCAUGGUUGUAAUGGAACGUGCCUAGAAGGAUAAUGGACCAGGUUGACAUAGUUCCUAAACUGAAGGUGAUUGUACUGGGAAGUGGAAUGUUCACUAUCAUGAUAGUGAGCCAAGGAUUCAGAGUAGUAUAAGAGUUUGACUUUUUUUCUUUUUUUUUUUGGGAAGUAAUUUAAAAAAAAAAAAAAAAAGCAACUAGAAAUUGAAAGGUAAUUUUUUUAAACUAAUCUAUUAGAUUGAAAACUAACAAGCCAGAACACUGAAAUAAAAGUAUAAUACCAAUAUAAAAGAAUGGGCUAACUGUUUGGUUGAUGUGUCAAUACUAACGAUAACUCAGGAACUGUAUCAUGGUCAAUUAUGGCUAAGGUGGAUGUGAGAGGGGAUACGAGACAAGUCUCAAAACUCUCAUCCUCACUAUCAAAAAUAUCAAUUGGUUCAACAAUAAAAGCCUCAUUUUCUUCUACAUGAGGAGGAUUAACACAACUAAAUUUAGAAAGUGAUUGGAGUAAUGUGUCUAGUUUUGUACACAAUUGAUUAAGUUGAAAAGAUAUGUACCAAUGAUUGCCCAGACGGUAAGCUUCAUCCAUGGAUCAUGAUUAGGCUUCGGCGUGAUUUGGUUUGGGUCGGUUUCAACUCCAAUCCAAAAUCAAAACAAAAUUAGUUUGUUUGGACAAAUUUUAAACUAAACCAAUCCACUCUAGCUCUUAAACCGAACCGAACCGAACCAAACCAAGCCAAAUCAAAUGUUGGGUUUGAUUUGGUUCAGUUUGGUUAAUCGGUUUGGACUUUUAGUCCAAAUUAAAUUUUUUAAAAAGAAAUUAUUCGAGUUUUAGAUGCACUUAAAUUACAAGAACUAAAAUAGCCAAAUAAUUUUUUAUUAUAAGAACUAUUGAUUAACAAGUAAAAUCAGGUUAAUAUUGACGGAACAACAAAAAACUUAAAAAUUUUAUUGCUUUUUUAUGUAUUAUGUAGUCUGACUGCCUGAAUAUAGAAAAAUGCUAAGUAUAAUAUAAUAAGUUUGUGAAAUAAAAUUUUCAGUACUAUUAUUUACCGACAACAUCAUAGAUUGGAGGGAAUCGAGAUAUAGUUAUGAGAUUAGAGUUUAUCUUUUGAUUUUUAUUUUUCUUAAAUUAAAAAAAGGUGAAAACAUAAGAAGGUUAGGUUGGUUCGGUUAACGAAUGGUUUGAGACUUCAAACCAUGACUGAAUCGACCACUAUGAUUUUGUUUAAAAGAAAAUCAUAUCAAAUCAAUUACCUGUGUCGAACCAACCUGAACUGACUCGAGUUGAGUCGAUUUGAUUGGUUUGGUCGGUUUUUCGAUUUUUUCCCAGGCCUAAUCAUGGUCAAGGAAUGUGUCAUGCAAAAUAUCAGGAUUUAAACCAUCGAUAAACUUAGAUGCUGUGAUAUGGGGUGCCUCAUAAAUAAAAUAAUUGUGCAAUGUCUUUGAAGUUGGCUAGAUACUCAUUAAUAGUGGGCGUACCUUGCUUACAGUGCAAGAAGACUUGAUUUAACAAUUGAGUUCGAUAAUACACUGGGGCAUAUUUAUUGCUUAGAAUUUGUUUCAUCUGCUCCCACAAAGUGAUUGGUUGAUCUAGACGAUUACGUAAAAGGGACUUCCAAUAACUACUAGUGGAACCGGCAAGUGACUGAUUAGCAAAGACAAUUCGACGCGAGUCUCUCAAAUUGUGAUGGUGAAAGAAUUUUUCAUGAUUAUUGAGCCAAUCUAGAAAUGUUUCCGGAGCAGUCUAACCAUCAAAAUCCCUAGUUGUAAUGGAACGUGCCUAAAAGCAUAAUGAAUGGGGUUAACAUAGUUCCCAAAUGGGAGGUAAUUGUAAUGAUAUUGGGAAGUGGAAGUUAUAUGGACAUGAUAAUGACCUAAGGAUUCGAUGUAUGUAUUAGAGUUUAACAUUGUUACAUUUUUUAUUAUUUUUUUGAAUUAAUUGAAAAAUGCAACAAAAAAUUGGAAGAAUUUUUUUAAUCUAAUCUAUUAAAUUUAAAAUUGACAAGCUAAAUCAUCUAAAUAAAUGUAUAUUGCCAACACAAAAGAAAUUGUUACCUUAUGAAACUCAAAAGAGUCAAAUAAUAUAUUCCAAUCAUGAUUUUCAAGUUGGCACAACUACAGUAGAAGAGCAGCAAUUGAUUCUACGAUCGAUUCAAUCCACAAAAGCAAAUCAUGGUCUUACAAAUAGUGUCAGAAAGUUCUUUUUUUUCUUUUUUUUUUUCACUCUUUUUUUUUAUUCCCUUUUUUCUACAAAUAAAUUGAAACGGUGGCAACAAACAAAAUUGAUGGCAGCAGCAGAGAAGUCGAAGCUCUGGCGAGUUAUGGGAUGCUGUAAACUAGAAGUUGUGGUUAGGAACUCCUUCAAUUGGUCUUCUUGUGAUUGGAGGAGAUGGAAGGUGGUUGGAGUGUAUGUCGUUUGUUGCUUUUGUUGGGGUGAUCAAUUGGAUUGUGAUCGUAGGAGAUGGAGGUGUGGCUAUUGAUAUCGGCCAUAGAUGGGUGUUUGAAGUACAGAGGCUGGAACGAAGGGCAGCGCCAGUGAAAGCUUGGUAGAUGUAGGAGCAGCGAGUGUGGAGGCAACGGAAUUGUUGAAGGAAAUGGAAUUGGCGGUUGUGGUGUUUCAUAGUGGUAGCGUAAGGUAUUAGAAGCAUGUGGUUGCUGUUUGAGCUAUUGGCAGCGGAGGCUUGGUGCGUGUGGGUUGUCGAUGACUACAAUCAAACAAGAGGACAAUGGUGGCAGGAGCUGUGUUUUGUGGAUGGAUGAGUUGAUAUUUUACUUUGUAGUUGCAGGUGGCGGCAUAUGAGUUCAAUCGGGGAUGAGGGUGCCGAAGGGGAUGGCGGCGAUGUGGUUGUGUUAUGUGGAGGUGGAGGCGAAGGUGGCUGCAUAUGUGGGCUAGGUUUUAUGGACAAGAUGAAGAGUGGGUGGAAGUCAAAGACUUUCAUUCCUCCGAGUCAGAGAUGUAGCUGUGCCCUUCUUCCAUGAGAGUAGGUAUAUUAGAUGUCCAAAAGCUUGUUUGUUGUUCCAAUUUCUCGCACUGUAUGAGCUUCGACUAAGAGCAUUUUUCUUGCCCAGUUGCUCGGCGCUUGUGGAAGCGCCACUGUAUCCUCCCUUAAAAAGGGGUUACAGCCUCAGAUAAUUCCAAAGAAGGUACCAUGGUUUCGUUUCUUUCUACAAAGUUCUUUGCAUGCGUUUGGUAUUUAAGCGUUCCAUUUCUCUGCGAAUUCGGGAACGGAUGGGACUUUCCCCUCUCCAACUGGACUAGGAUAAAGGAGGGCUGGGCCUUUCUAUGCUUAUUCAUGUUAGGAUUGGCUGGCUCAACCUCAGAAUCCGAAAAGAAAACAAAGAUAGAAUAGAAUCACUUUGUUUCAGUGACAUGUCUAAUCGGAUCGAAUAGGAUUUGAAGAGCUCUCACGAUCAUUCACAUUUCCUCUUAGUCCACCACUGCUCGCUCAGGGGCUUCCUUAUAAGGCAGAAUGCUCCCCUCCUAUUCCUUUUCAACGAUCCAAAUUUUGGUUUUUUCUUUCUAGUUGAGACGAGGAGUAGAAGAGAAAGAGGGGGGCCAUCACAAAAAGUAGGAAAUAUGUCAAUUUAUCCUAUUGAGUCACUUGAAGUAGGAAUGGGUUCGGUUGGGCUUUAAGUCGUGAAUAGUAAUUGGGUUGAUUUUUGGGUAGUGGACCUGGAACGCUGUUGGGCUUGGGAGAUGUGGUGGUCGAUUUGUUGGGCUUAGGCUAAAGUGAUUGAGGUGGGUAGUGUAGGUUUGUGGGCUGAUUAGGUUUAAGGUUUAGGCUUGUUAUUUGGGUAUGGUUUAUAGUGAGCAGAAAUUGGGGAACUUUUUUGUAGAUUUGUGUGGGGGCUUCGUUGAGCGUCAUCCAUUGGACAGCAGCAGAGUAGCAAUAAACGACGAAACUUCAUUUUUUUAUUUUUUUUAUUUUUUAACUUGAAAACGGCAACUAUACAGAAGCUGUACGAUUUUUUAUUUUUUUGAAUUUUUUCUCCCGAAACUAAGAGAACUGAAAAAACUUCUGUUGAUGUCUAUAUAAAUUCUUGUAAUUUUUCUGUUCACAGUUUUUUCUCAUUUUUAUUUUUAUUUUUGGUUUAGAAGGGUGGUUGUAGGGCUUGUAUGGGUGUUGGAAGGCGACGUUAGGUAUAUGAGUUGGAUGAACUUGGUUGGUUAGGCCAAAGGAAAAUGAAUUGAUCUAAUACCAAAUUGACGAAGGAUGCAAAUAAUUUGUUAAAGAAUAAUUGAAGAUUAAGAAAGGAGGGGGGGGUCCAGGAAGGGAAGAAUUGAGGGGCAAGAGGAAAAAUCAGUCUUUAUUCAUAUAAUCAAGGUUAUCCAUUACAAUGAAUAAUGCCCUCGAUUAAUAGAGCAAAUAAACUAAGAAGCUAAAAGAAAAUAAACUUCUAAUGAUAUCUAAAUAUCAAAACUAAUCUAAUGAAAUCUAAUCAAAUAUAUUUUAAAUCAAGCUCUUAUUUAAAAUCCUAAUUAAAAUAUAUUUUUAUUCUAUCUCUAUCUUGAUUUCCAUCAACAUAUGGCAUUACUAUUAUUAGUUUGUUGUCUGGAGUAAAUCUUCAUUUUUCACAUGCUGCAUGUGUAUCAUUGCAUUUUAAGGUUGCUAGAACAGAAAUCCUGUAUAGAAUUGAUCUAGGGCCCUAGUGAUUCAUCAGUUUGCAAAAUCAUCUGGAUAAUUGUUAUUAUUAAAGAAGUCGAUCAAGGCUCUCCUGAUGCAAGUACAUGUUGAAAAAUCUCUAAGGUCAUGGUAGUUCAUUUGUAUUUUCUUAGCAGAGUUUUGCUUCCAAAUUUUUAAUUGUCAUAAGUUUUCUAUUUUGUAGACAUGUCUUUAGAAAUUGUUAAUUCAGUUUUGUUGAAGUAUAAAAUGUAAAUUUUGAACUGUGUGACGUGUUACAGCAGUUACUAUUCUGAUGUGAUUGUCAUUUGUUAAUUGGUUGAACAAUAAAUAUUGCAUUUUGAGUUUCCUGUCGUUGAAAUUUUUUGUUCUUGUGGCUUCUAAUGUUUGGUUCCCUUGUAUAUUCUUACUCCCAAUUCGGGUUUUGAGUUCCACCCUCAUUCCUAUUCAUCAUAUAAUCCGGUUACAUGGGUUGGAAAAUUUUAUUGGGUUUUGGUUAAGUGUCUUUGCCAUAACAAUGAAGCUUCGUAUUUGUGCAGAGAAAGGGGAAGUGCUUAGCGAGCACUACAAAUUACUUCCUGUGGACUUGCGUGAUUUACAGAAGUUAGAUGAUAUUGUUACUUUAGCUAAUAUAGAUCCCAGGUAUUUGUACUUCAUUUUCUGCCUUAUGUACAUAUUAUGAAAAUAUGAAUGUGGUAUGAACCGCCUUAAAAGUUAAUAUUUUGGAUUCUUGAUGUGUUUUCUGAAGGUCAUUUGGUCACUCUUUUAUAUCAUCUUCAAGAUGAUAUAUUAUUCUAAACUACUUCAAUUUUUCAACUUGCGAGGAAAGGUGUCUAUGUAAUUCUUUUUGGCUUGAUUCUUGUCAUACCUGGCAACUAAAAACUUUGUUGCUUCAUAUUCACAUAGAUUUAAUUUUGAGCUCGGUCAAUGUGUAAAAUUUUGAUUUAGGUCAAUAUUUAGUCUUCCUCACUUGGGGGAUUCUAUGGCAUUUUGGUCUGUGGACAAAUUUCUAGCUCUUGUUUAUGUAAUUUAUUUUCUAUUUUUUUUUCCCCUUUAUUUCUCAUUCUACCCCAAGCGUCAUUUACAUGUAUUUGUAUUUUUUGUGAUAGGCUUACAAAAUGAACAUGACAUGAUGUGUUUGCAAGAAAUUUUGGUUUCAUUUGAUAAGGCUUAGCCUGUUGUAUUAGAUUUUCCCCCCUGCUCGGUACAUGCAUGAUCUUGGAUGAUGUGCUCAUAGAUAAUUGUUUAAAUAGCUCUUUCAAAUGAAAGGUUUAAGAUGCUGAAACUCGUUUUUUGACCCUCUGAUUGAUUACUGUAGCUCGCUCUGAUGUGUUUAGCAGAAAAGUAGUCUUUUAUAUGAUUCCUGUUCUUAUUUGGUCCUUUUUUUUUUUUGUGCCAUGUAUGUCUAAUUUUGUUAUGUUUCUCGUUCUUCCUGGAUAACUUCCAUACUAGGUUUUGAGUUGCAAAUUUCUCUUCCUCUCCAGUUGCAUCCACAUCCCCACCCCCCACCCCCCACCCCAAAAAAAAAGAAAAAAGAAAAAAUGUGAUAAAGUGAUCACCUUGUAGUUUUGGUUCAUGCGGAAAAAAAAGAUUAAACCUUGCCAAUCUGAUGUUGUUAUCAGUUUGCCAACAUUUAUAAUUGCAGAAUGCGUUCUUAUAUACUUGGAUCCAGAUUCAAGCCGCAGUAUAGUCAGAUGGGCUUCUAAGACAUUUUCUACGGCUGUAUUUUUCUUAUAUGAGCAGGUUAUGGAACUUUUUAAUCCUCAAUUUUUCAUCUUUCUUUGGGUUUCUCCAUUUCUACUGCUUUCGCUUUCUUGGAAACUGAAUUUAUUUAUGCUAUAGUCGCUUGACUACAUAUUCAUGCUGUCUCACAGAUUCAUCCAGAUGACGCUUUUGGUCAACAGAUGAUUAGAAAUCUGGAGGUACUUCGGCCUCCUUUUUGCACCAAAAGAGGAAAAGAAAAUAGAUUUUAAGAAAAUUAAAAAGGUUCCUUUGUUUCUGUUAUUUCUCAUGACAUUCCGCCAAAGAGUAAGAAUGUUAUGUUUAGAUUAUCUAAAAUAUUGACCCCAAAACAAAAACAAAAAACUAAUCCUAUGUUUGUCUAAUGUUUAUGAAAUGUUUAUAAUGGCCGAAUCUCUUUUUCUCCUCACAUUUAUAGGACCCACAAGUACUCCUCCCAGACAAGCUUUAAGACUUUUUCCCAAUAAAUUGGGGUCGGCUAGAUGGACCAUUUUUCACUCUAUUCGAUUAAAUUGCUAUGUACUAGAUCUGUGGGAUCUUAAGCAACUAGAUUCUUAGACCUACCGUAGGCCAUGUUAUUUUUAGUCUACCCCUCUCUCUUCUAACAUGUUCUACCGAAAUCUCCUCGCUCUUAUUAACCAUUACUUUUGUUAAUGGGAGCCUUUUUAGGCCUGCGCAAAAUAUGGUAGCAUCUUACUUACAGUUUUUUAUGUGCUGUCACAUAUGUGGUUUCCUUUAAAAAAUUCACGAGUCAUAGAAGUAGAGCUGAGAUUAUACAAUCUUCUAUUUUUAUAUACUACUUUAUGUGCCAAUGAAGCUUUCUUGUGUUCUCUAGUCUAUUGAAAUAAAAGAGAAUAAUUAUCCCUGCCGAGAUAUUUUUCUAGAGGUGUAUGUGAGCAGAUGUAAUAAUGGCUUUUUAUUGCAGAAUCGAGGUUGUGCACUGUUGAGCAUUUAUGCUACGCCGACUUUGCUUGCGAAGGAGAAACUUUUUCUUGAUCAAGGAUGGCAGGUAUUCUCCCGUGAUGUAUUGCUUCUUGGGUCCCCUUCCCCAGUAUACGAAUGUGAGAGAAAAAAGAAAUGGAAAACAAGAAAAGAUACUCCUUUGGUAGAAUUUAAUUGACAUUUUUAUACUUAAAGAGAGAUGGUUAGAAAAUUCAAGUUUCUGUUAGAAUACAAGCCUUGAUGUUUAAGAGUGUCAUCACCCGAACAUCACCUGAUAUUCACCAUCUCAAAUAAUUUUCUUUCUUGGAAGGGUGGAGUGUUUUUUCGCAAGUAAAAGUAGUAAUGUCUGUUAGUACUUAGUGGGCAUCUAGUUUGGACUGACUUGCUUAAUACCUAAAUGAAUGAAGCCACGGUGUGGGGGAGGGUAUUAGGUCCAGAAACCUUCCCAUUAAUUUAGCUGCUGGAAUAUAUAGAUUGAUAUGCCAAGAUUUAGCUUUUGGAUUUUGAGAUUUAAACCUAUAUGUGUUGUGAACACGAUCAUUCUGUAACUUACUUUAAAAUGAAUGGUUUGCGAAUACUGUUCACAUUUAAGCAAUACUGAAAAUGUUGUAUUAGCUCUGUUCUUGUUUACCCUUCCCUAGCAAAGGCUGUUAAAGUUUCGCGUUUCUUCUUUUUCUUUACUUGCGUCUGUUUCCCUGUGUUUUUGGGUUUUGUUCUUUAUUGAUCAACUUUGAAUUAGUUUCAUAUUUGUCACACGUUAUUAUGAUCUCUAUUGAGGUGCUUUAGAGAGCUGUUGCCUGGGACAUGCUGAGAGUGUACAGUAAUUUCAUUGAAGCCCAAGAAAAACGCAGGUAGAAAUCGUUUUCUUUUGCACUAGAGAAUUGCUAUUAUAUUUAUGUAGUUCUUUAACCUUUAUGGUUCCUUGUAUGAUAUUAUGCUUCUGCUCAUGAUUGUUAUUUGUUAAAGUGCACUAAGAACCCCUGAAAGCUUUGGAUCUUUAAAAUUGAAAUAUGCAUCUUGUGCACUGCUGUGCCUCAAUUUCAUGCCCAAAUAUAUCAUCGUCAGUUGUGGACAAAUUGAAUCCUGUUUUCGAUAUCAUAAAUGCUGUUGAGUUGAAUGUCUUCAGUUUUGUUUUAAAUAUGGAUUAAUUUUGGAUCUCCUUUUAACUUCAUGAUAAAUUUCGUCCUUAUCUAUUUUUAAUGGUGUUGUUCCUCUGCAAUGCACCAUCUUUUACCUGAGGCUGCUGGAUUUAGCACCUCUUUCUGGCAUUUUGCCAUUGCAUCCAUAUGUACAACUUUUUGGAUUAGAAUUGGAAGUGACCUUUGUUUUUGUGAAUGAUGAAAUAUUAUCUCUCCAUGACUGUUUCCAACUCUCCCUAGUGCAGUGUUCUGCUUGAGUAAUGUGAUUAAAAUAUGUGGGUCUACAUUUUGGUAGAAAUUGAAAUGUUAAGAUCUGCAAGUUUUAUGGUUCAUUUGGGGACGCUGAAGAAAUUGCAUAAUAUUAUAAAAUAGUUGAAUGAAAAUUUAGGAUUUUCAGUCCAAGUCCAUUAAUUAACCAUUGGCCAUUUUACAUGUUUUGAUUCAAAGAGUAGCUUAAAUAAGAACUUAAAUCUUAACGAUACUAUAUGAUUCAGGUGGUAGUUCAGUAUCGAAUUUUUUUCCUUAAUUUUUGCUGUGAUAAGAAAUUAAGAAGUGCUUUCUGAACUCUGUUAUAUAUGAAGAUUUCAAGUGUUUGCUAGAAUACAAACCUUUCGAUUUUUUCAGUUUCAAAGUGUCAUUAUUCUAAGACUAAAGAGUUGGUUCUUUCAAGAUUUUUGGUAUGCAUUUUUGCUCUCUCAUCUGCAUGUAUUCUAGAGAUGCUCUUUCAGUAUUCUUAUUCUUAUCUGUGUUCUUUUUAUCAGGAUUGAACGGUUGGAGUUGUUUGAUGAGUUUGAAGAGUGGCACAUGCUGCAGGCAAGAAUUUGUUACUUUUAUAUUGCAUUGGAAAUGAAGUUCUUUGAUAGUCUUGUCCAACUUGAAGAAUACAAUGUUUCUGUGGGAUAAGUUGAUAAAAUUCUCUUUUAUCCCCUUAAAUAUGAUUUAAGGAGGUAAUUUUAUCUGUUUAAUAUGGUUAUAUGGUCAAGCUGGAAGAGGUUACUGUGAGAAAAAGUUCUUUUAGCUGAAUAACGAAUUGCAUCAUGAAUUCCUUUUCAAAAAAGCAAGAACGAUUAUUUUCCCCCCCUAAAAGAAAAAGGUUGAGCAUAGUUUUUAGCAUGAUAAAAUUGAGAUUACCGAGGAUAUUCUAACAAAGUUUUGCUGUUCUGGUCAAGUUUUUUUUUUCAUGCAUGAUUUCUAAGGUAAAUAUAAUAAGCCACAUUAAUGGCACAUAUGCACGAGUAGAUCUCAUAAAGUGCUUUUUCCUUGGCGUGUAUGUUUUCUUUGUUCUGCAAUAAUGGCUGUUCCUGACCAACCAAUCAGUUGUAACUUCACGAAGCCCACCCAAAAAAUAAAAAGUUUCUCAGUGUUUGAUGAUUUUAUUCUAAAAUUGCUGAUUUUCAGGAGCACUACUGUGUUGCCUAUGCAAUCAACGAUGCAAUGGUAUGCCAGUAUAUAUGUAGCUCUAAUAUAUUGUCAUGUCCUCUCUUUUUAACAUCAAUCACCAUAUAUUCUAUCUUGAUGCUGCUUCAGGGUCUGUUUGAGAAAUUUGGUUUCCCUGAAAUUGAGACUGGAGCAACCGUUGCUACAUCCCCAUGAGAGAAUUAUUUUGUUAUCUGAAGUGAUUCUUUUCCGUGCAUUGAUGUCUAAUAUUGGCACGAAAGGAAGCAUGCUACUGGCUCAUGUUAAACCUGGGUGCUCUUUCUACCACUUCUUCAGUCUUACAUCCAAUAUAUGCAUAUAUUUAUACUUGUGUGUUGUAAAACUUAAAUGUAUCCAUCCAUUUGUCACCCCACGGACUAGGGGUUUGGGUUUUGUAUCCAUCUAUUCAUUUUUAGUUGGAUCAUAAUGGCAUGGAUUGACGGAUGGAACAUUCAAUUUCGUUGACGACUUACAUUUGUUGUUCACUGAUUUAAGAAUAUUUUACAUUGUAGAUGUGGGUUUUUUGUGCAACUGAUGAUGUAGUGUAUAAUGUAAUGUUAUGGUCAGUCAGUCACAAUCAUGAACAUAUGAUGUUAUUACGUAGAUAUGAUUAUUUUGUACAAUUGUUAUCACAAUAGCACCUGCUGGUUAUUAUAAACUCACAAGGCAAGUCUUUCACGAGUGAUGCAAGAUAGAAUUGGAUAAUUACGGUUAGCGAUUGUGGCAAUAUUAUGGAAUUUGAGCUGUAUGACAGAAUAUAAAAGGGCCCUUUGUCAAAAGAGUUGAUUACCAUGGAGACUAUCAUCUCCUCUCCUGUUUUUCUACUCUAUAGGGUUGGUUUGAGGGUAAUAUUGAUUCGGAGCAUCGCUUGAACAUGAAAAUGAGUUUAUUUUUGUAAAGGACUCUUUUGUAGUAUGACUCGAAUAACUAGUAUUUGGGAUUUGACUUUUGUGCCUCAUUUUUGGUGAUUAUUUUUACUUGAAUGUGCGUAGCAAGUUAUUCUAAAAUGUUUCAUAGGUGCUAUAAAAAUAAUAUUGUAAGAUGUGAGAAUAUAAAAAAUAAUUAAUACAAUUUGCUUACGCGGGAUGAAAGCUUGAUUCAAAAGAAAUGAAAAUCAGUUUGUGAAAACAUAUUAAAUAGUUGAGGAAGUAAAUUGGAAUAAUUCAUCCAUUUGUUCUUUCUGAACAUUCAACAAAUAUUAUCCUUUCCUCAUAUUACAUUUUCUGUAUCUUAACAUUCAUUAAAUAAAUCAAUUGGAAGAAAACUCUAAAAAUAUUCAUUUUUUGUUACAAAUUUUUUUUUAAUGAAUUUAAUUUACUAUCCAAUCAAGUGAAAUAAAUAUGUCAAAUAUACAUUAAUCACAACUAAAUAAUUGACAAAAUAAUUCAUGAUGAUAUUAUUCAAAUGUUUAUUUAAAUAAAAUGCAUAUUGAAAAAUGAAAAAGUAACGAGUCUGUCAAAUAUGGUUAAAGAAUUAAAUACAUAUUAAAAAACGAAAGUAAUGUAAUGAAUAUGUCAAAUGUACAUUUAUUAUAACUAAAUAGUUGACAAAAUAAUUAAUGAUAAUAUUGUUCAAAUGGUUCAGAUGAUUAAUAUAUUAGAUACAUAUUGAAAAACGAAAAUUACGGUAUUAUUGAAAUAAUUAAAUGCCUCUUGAGCAGCGAAAAAUAAGAUAUUAAUGAAAUAAUUAAAUUAUAGUAAAGAUAGAAUCGUCCAAAAAAUAAGUAUCACUAGAUGUCAUAUUUAGUAUAUUAUAGAUUAAAGGUUUUACAUUGUCUCUACUACUAACUAUAAUUUUUGGGGAAAAAAAAAACAUUUUCCUGCAUUAAAUAUGCCCAUAAUUUGGGGGUUUUAUUAGAAAGAUUUGAGUUCUAUAAUACUGAAUGGAUUGCAGCCUGUAUCCUUGCAUUUAGUUUUAAAAAAUUUCUAAAAAAAUUGAAAAAAUAAAAAAGUAAGCUGGGUGGUGUUGGACUUCAAAGUGUUUGGAUAUUUUGAGCUUAGUACUGUUUGCACUUUGUCACACCAUUGCCCAUGGCAAGAAGUUCUAGUCAUAGAGGGAGUUCAUCUGAUGGAAUAAAGAUAGAUCAGAUUUAUUCUAAAAAUGUUUUUUAAGAUAUUCUUCAGUGUCGAGACUACUCAUAUAACAUGAAAAACAAAUAUCAUACCUGACGUUGUUGACAUACUAAAAGUGCAGCCUAAAUCAAAUAGCCCAAAGAGUGAAGUCCAAUUGGAGAAUCCAGGAUAAGUGUCCAAACAUGAUUAUUAAUGAAUGCGGUGGAAGCCCACGAACGCAGUAACAUCAUCGUCCAAUCUUGCAAGACGCACAGAAUCUGAGCGAAUGGAGUACCUUACGAUCGCCCAGAGCGAUGACCGCGUUCUCCCCCAAACCUUCGAAUCGCCCAGGAUUUUAGCAAGCACAAAACAUUAUGGUUAUCCAAAAUAGCAAUUAAUAAGAGAAGAAGAGCAAAUGAAAAAUUCUAACAAGGGGACUUAUUAUAGAGACCCAAAUUUUGAUAUUCAUACCAUUAAUGACGAGUAUUACGAUAAACCAAAAUGUGUUUGGCCGAAUUAAUCAAAGGAGACGCAUAUACUUGUCCUAUAAUGGCUAAGCCUAGAUCGUCGGGCAAGAAUGAGCCUAUAAAAGAUGAAAACAAAAAGGUUAGAACGCUCUCGUUCGAUGCAACCAAAGCUGAUCUUAUAUCUGAUAAACUAUAUAAAGAUAAGCAGAUAAAGUUGAGCGAUAAAUAUAAGUUGCCAAACCCUGAACAAAUCAAGGGUAAAAAAUAUUGUAAGUGGCAAAUGCAUGGUCGCAUUUGACUAACAACUGUUUGGUUUUUCGCCAUGUGUUACAGGACGCCAUUGAAUCAGGACGAAUUCCGUUCGAGGAUAAGAAGAAGAUGGCAGUGGAUGAAAACCCUUUUCCACAGCCACUUGGAGUGAACAUGGUGACAACUGGUUUCAAAAAUAAGUUGUCAAAAUUCAAGUUGGUUAUAGAUAACGGAGAAGAGGACCCUGGGCCACACCCUAGUGUACGUGUCAAGGGGAAGGAGCCUAAAAAGGAUGAAGACAUCCUAUGUGCAAGAUGUAAAAGAGAAGUGAGUGCAUAUACAGAGAAACUAGGGAUAUGGCAGCAUCACUAUCGCCCUAAUUUUUUUUCAAACGCUCAGUCUGGUAGAGGGAGAGGUACAUCAUUCUAUAGGGGACCGCCUUUUGAGAGGCAGUUCAGGUCAAUAAAUAAUGGGAGAACAUUCAGGUUGCAACCUCGCCAACCAAAUGUAUGACAUUCGUUCCAAUAUAAUACAGGAAGGGUGAUACCCUUCAACGAGAUGACUAGAACCCAACAAAGGCGUUUUCAACGGAAUUAUGGACGAAUGAUGAGGCAACAACAUGGAGUGUCACGUCCUAAGGCGCUUAAACUACUCGAGGUGACCAAUCAAAAUGUUCUCGAAGACAGUGAGGAGACUGGUACAGGAGAAUCGAUGGAAGAAUUGUCAGAGAGUUCUUCUGGGAUAUCGAAGUUUGAGCGAGGCAGAAGGGAUGGAGAAGAUCCAGAUCAGCCCCUUACUAUUCAGUUUGGUACGUUACCUCAUGUCAUGGCUAAUAACUAUUUACUAGCCAAUGAGUUCAAGAACAAAGAGAAAGAAGAAGAAGAGAUGGAGGAUAACGAGGAAGAAGCAUGUGUGCUGGAAUGUGAAGAAUGUCAAACUUCUAGAGGGGCCUACAAUGGUGAAGAGGAUGAUGGUAUGACGGACGUCGAAGAGAAAAUUGAUCUGGAAGCAAAAAGAGAGGAGUAUUGCACAAUACUCUGUUGAAGCAACUACAUCGAGAGGGAGUUCCUGAAGUGGACUUGUUGAGGGAACUAUCUGGGCGUUCUUUCGAUUAUUACGUGCUGUACGGGAUGCCCAAGAGGAAAAAAAGAGUACCUCGUUCUAAAAAGUAUGGAUCACUUUCAAGAAUAAUGCCUCAUCCCACAGGUUGGGAAAUG